AGGAGGCCCGGGCCGACGCAAGCGCGACGGUCCUCGGGGUGAAGCCGAAGGCGCUCCCAACGGAGCGACACGGCCGGGCGACCUCUUCAGCCCGAACCCGACAGCUGACCUCGUAGGUGCGUACGGAGAGGAACA
RNAcentral lists this non-coding RNA (135 nucleotides) under Rhodococcus pyridinivorans. RNAcentral describes it as "c-di-AMP sequence". It matches the Rfam family "c-di-AMP riboswitch aptamer (ydaO/yuaA leader)", at positions 34 to 134 of the family's 134-position model. Rfam says of the family: This family represents a conserved RNA structure found upstream of the ydaO and yuaA genes in Bacillus subtilis and related genes in other bacteria. The ydaO/yuaA element is thought to act as a genetic "off" switch for the ydaO and yuaA genes in its native state. The record is from RNAcentral. Lineage: Bacteria; Bacillati; Actinomycetota; Actinomycetes; Mycobacteriales; Nocardiaceae.